UAUCCAUUGGUUAAUAUGGAACGAGGCAGAACAAAGUCUCGUGGUAUAAAAGCUCAGGCUGUCAUUGCAGUUCAGCACAUCGUCUUCUUCGUUCGAUUUCUACUUUCUGCAGUUUCUUGGCAGCUCAGUCACAUACUCGCCAUCAUGUCUACGUCUUACCAUUUCUUGAUCUUCUUCGGUAUGGGUGUUGUGGCUGUAAUGGGCAACAAUUACAAGGCGCCUUACCAUCAACCCAAAUACGAGCCAGAGAUCCCUGCCUGUUCCAAGAACACGACCAAGAAUUGGUGCCUGGAAGAUUCCGAAUAUCCAGCCUAUGAAGUCGUUUACGAGCUGGACAAACAUUAUGAAGCCGUUGUGGCUCUGUACAAGAACGUCGUCGCCGAAACGGCCAACUCGGUCGAUACCCUCAGCAAAUUGGAACAGGAGACUUACCUUUGCCCCAGCGAAACUUCUUACGUCCAGCCGCUACGUGCAGUCAACACCAAAGGCAAAUGGCGUGUCAUCAUCAACAAAGUCGAAUCUUAUGGCAUCAAAUACGAUCAACAUGCCCGCAUUGAAGAAUGUGAAGAUGAUGCUGCUGGAAAGGCCUGCCCAUUGGUGCCCACCUGUUACGAGUCGAAAUGCCUUGCAAAAGAGCAUUUACCACCGUUUCCUCGUCUACGAUCCCACCGAUUAUUAUUUCCCAUUCGCCAUUGAAACUUUCAAAUUGCCCGCAUCUUGCGCCUGUUUCGUUGGAGCUUUCAAACUCUAAAAGACUUCUACCAUCUUCCUCUAUCUUUCCCUUUCCUACUUCUUUUCCAACCAAAGUUCGGUCCAAACGAUCCCUGUGAUAUUUUUUGUAAAACAUCUCUGCGCUCCACAGUCGACUCUUCGUGAACAAAUGAAAGACUCACGGUGAAGCGCAAAGGUUGGCGGUACCAUCAACAACGAAAGACGAAACAUCGAAAUGAAAGCAGUCCCUCAUCACCACCACAACAACAACGUGGCUUAUUUAAUAAUUAAAUAUAUUUUCUGAUAAAAUGUUUGUAUGCUUAAAUCCUCGUGUGUUGCUCCCUCACGACAUUACGUCCUCGGCAAAUAAUAAAAUAGUCUUAUACCCAA
RNA transcript from Daphnia magna, 1101 nucleotides. RefSeq lists it as uncharacterized. The transcript has 2 exons. NCBI's taxonomy places the organism in Eukaryota, Metazoa, Arthropoda, Branchiopoda, Diplostraca, Daphniidae. The record is from RefSeq and is a predicted model, not a curated record.